UAGUUAAAUAGUGGUCGGAAAAUUGAACUGAAAUUAUGUGCGCAUAGCAGAGAUGAUUUCAAAUUUGCCUGUCAUAUUUUACCAAGAUCUAUCCUAAACUCACUUCAUGAAAAGUAUUUAUUCUACACUGAAAUGACAUGUAAGUCAAUGUAAUUACGUCAAGUGUCCGAAUAUAUAGAGUCUGUAUGUUAUGUAAGCCGUUCACCCUCUAUACUACAACACCCCUCCCCCCAUUCAGCCACGCCUCCCUAUUUUAUGCAUUGGAGUGGAAUCUACUCGACUUACAGACGCAGUCAGCGUUAACAUGGAUGUUUAUUUUGAGUUGUUGGCCUGUUUUGUUUUUUUUGUUCGAUUUUGUUUGGAUUUGGCAUUGUUGUUUUGGUGUGUGCGUUUUUUCAAUUUAUCUCUGUGGUAUGUGUGUGUGUGUGUGUGAGAGAGAGAGAGUGUUUUGUUUGUUAAUUUUCGACUUUUAGAAAACAACCGUACGUUUGAAUAAAAAUAAUAAAGCAUUAUGUGGUGUGCAUUUUAUUGCCUUUUGAGGUCUACUUGUUAGGUCGGGAUGAAACCAAUAUGUCAGAAACGCAAUAUGAAGAGACCCCUGGGGCUUACUGGAUCUUCCGGCAAGGACGUGAAAUACUGAAUGGAAGCAACGCCUGGAGCUUACUGCAUCUUCCGGCAAGGACGUGAAAUACUUAAUGAAAGCAACGCCUGGAGCUUACUGCAUCUUCCGGUAAGGACGUGAAAUACUGAAUGGAAACAACGCCUGGAGCUAACUGCAUCUUCCGGCAAGGAUGUGAAAUACUUAAUGGAAGCAACGCCUGGAGCUUACUGCAUCUUCCGGUAAGGACGUGAAAUACUUAAUGGAAACAACGCCUGGAGCUUACUGGAUCUUCCGGCAAGGACGUGAAAUACUUAAUGGAAACAAAGCCUGGAGCUUACUGGAUCUUCCGGCAAGGACGUGAAAUACUUAAUGGAAACAAAGCCUGGAGCUUACUGCAUCUUCCGGCAAGGACGUGAAAUACUUAAUGGAAACAACGCCUGGGGCUUACUGCAUCUUCCGGUAUGGACGUGAAAUACUUAAUGGAAGCAACGCCUGGAGCUUACUGCAUCUUCCGGCAAGGACGUGAAAUACUUAAUGGAAACAAAGCCGGGAGCUUACUGCAUCUUCCGGCAAGGACGUGAAAUACUUAAUGGAAACAACGCCUGGGGCUUACUGCAUCUUCCGGCAAGGACGUGAAAUACUUAAUGAAAGCAACGCCUGGGGCUUACUGCAUCUUCCGGUAUGGACGUGAAAUACUUAAUGGAAGCAACGCCUGGAGCUUACUGCAUCUUCCGGCAAGGACGUGAAAUACUUAAUGAAAGCAACGCCUGGGGCUUACUGCAUCUUCCGGUAUGGACGUGAAAUACUUAAUGGAAGCAACGCCUGGAGCUUACUGCAUCUUCCGGCAAGGACGUGAAAUACUGAAUGGAAACAACGCCUGGAGCUUACUGCAUCUGUCGGCAAGGACGUGAAAUACUUAAUGGAAACAACGCCUGGAGCUCACUGCAUCUGUCGGCAAGGACGUGAAAUACUGAAUGGAAACAACGCCUGGAGCUCACUGCAUCUGUCGGCAAGGACGUGAAAUAAUGUACGUAUUACUGAAAUAAUUACACCUAUAAUUAUAAUGUAUGAUAUGUAUUAUAGCAGGUUUUCCAAAUAGUUAUGUAAGUAACUCCUACCAUUUAUUCAUAGUGUUGUGAUGCAGUGUUUUACGGUGUGCGACAGUGUAUCAUCCUCUUAUACACUGUUCCUGCAUAUUCAGUAAGGGGCAUUGGGGUGCUAUGUUCAGACUUUACUCGAUUUAGACAGAAUGAUUUGCAAAGUGCUACAAUGAUCCUAUCCCCGAAUCGUCUGCCAAAGAGUGGUAUAAAAAGGGAGUUAACUCUUGCCUCUCAUCUUAUAUUACAUCUCAAUGCAAGAGGAGACCAGCAUUGUCUGUGAUGUUGAAACCCUGGACACUCUCUGCUUAGCCCUUUCUUCAAAGUUAGAUUACUGAUGCCAAGGUGAAUAUUACCACCAUUGGCUUUAUUGCUCUCAUCACUGCUCUUGUAUUAUGGUACCCGUGUAUUCAUACUGCCACACAGUUCUGUACUGCCACAGUGCGAUCCCAGAGUUGAUGCCGAGGUGAAUAUUACCACCAUUGGCUUUAUUGCUCUCAUCACUGCUCUUGUAUUAUGGUACCC
This 2223-nucleotide long non-coding RNA is filed under the name Haliotis rubra (blacklip abalone). Its description in RNAcentral is "uncharacterized LOC124273902". Lineage: Eukaryota; Metazoa; Mollusca; Gastropoda; Lepetellida; Haliotidae. The record is from RNAcentral.